GAAUGCUGACAUAAGUAACGAUAAAGCGGGUGAAAAGCCCGCUCGCCGGAAGACCAAGGGUUCCUGUCCAACGUUAAUCGGGGCAGGGUGAGUCGACCCCUAAGGCGAGGCCGAAAGGCGUAGUCGAUGGGAAACGGGUUAAUAUUCCCGUACUUGGUGUUACUGCGAAGGGGGGACGGAGAAGGCUAUGUUGGCCGGGCGACGGUUGUCCCGGUUUAAGCGUGUAGGUGUGUGUUCCAGGUAAAUCCGGUUCACUUUAACACUGAGGCGUGACGACGAGGCACUACGGUGCUGAAGCAACAAAUGCCCUGCUUCCAGGAAAAGCCUCUAAGCAUCAGGUAACAUCAAAUCGUACCCCAAACCGACACAGGUGGUCAGGUAGAGAAUACCAAGGCGCUUGAGAGAACUCGGGUGAAGGAACUAGGCAAAAUGGUGCCGUAACUUCGGGAGAAGGCACGCUGACACGUAGGUGAAGUGAUUUACUCAUGGAGCUGAAGUCAGUCGAAGAUACCAGCUGGCUGCAACUGUUUAUUAAAAACACAGCACUGUGCAAACACGAAAGUGGACGUAUACGGUGUGACGCCUGCCCGGUGCCGGAAGGUUAAUUGAUGGGGUCAGCGCAAGCGAAGCUCCUGAUCGAAGCCCCGGUAAACGGCGGCCGUAACUAUAACGGUCCUAAGGUAGCGAAAUUCCUUGUCGGGUAAGUUCCGACCUGCACGAAUGGCGUAAUGAUGGCCAGGCUGUCUCCACCCGAGACUCAGUGAAAUUGAACUCGCUGUGAAGAUGCAGUGUACCCGCGGCAAGACGGAAAGACCCCGUGAACCUUUACUAUAGCUUGACACUGAACAUUGAGCCUUGAUGUGUAGGAUAGGUGGGAGGCUUUGAAGUGUGGACGCCAGUCUGCAUGGAGCCGACCUUGAAAUACCACCCUUUAAUGUUUGAUGUUCUAACGUGGACCCGUUACCCGGGUUGCGGACAGUGUCUGGUGGGUAGUUUGACUGGGGCGGUCUCCUCCUAAAGAGUAACGGAGGAGCACGAAGGUUGGCUAAUCCUGGUCGGACAUCAGGAGGUUAGUGCAAUGGCAUAAGCCAGCUUGACUGCGAGCGUGACGGCGCGAGCAGGUGCGAAAGCAGGUCAUAGUGAUCCGGUGGUUCUGAAUGGAAGGGCCAUCGCUC
This 1175-nucleotide ribosomal RNA is filed under the name Salmonella enterica subsp. enterica serovar Enteritidis. RNAcentral describes it as "partial 23S ribosomal RNA". It matches the Rfam family "Bacterial large subunit ribosomal RNA", at positions 1292 to 2450 of the family's 2925-position model. Lineage: Bacteria; Pseudomonadati; Pseudomonadota; Gammaproteobacteria; Enterobacterales; Enterobacteriaceae. The record is from RNAcentral.